CUUAACACAUGCAAGUCGAACGGUAACAUAAAGAAGCUUGCUUCUUUGAUGACGAGUGGCGGACGGGUGAGUAAUGCUUGGGAAUCUAGCUUAUGGAGGGGGAUAACUACGGGAAACUGUAGCUAAUACCGCGUAAUAUCGAAAGAUGAAAGUGUGGGACCUUCGGGCCACAUGCCAUAGGAUGAGCCCAAGUGGGAUUAGGUAGUUGGUGAGGUAAAGGCUCACCAAGCCGACGAUCUCUAGCUGGUCUGAGAGGAUGACCAGCCACACUGGGACUGAGACACGGCCCAGACUCCUACGGGAGGCAGCAGUGGGGAAUAUUGCGCAAUGGGGGCAACCCUGACGCAGCCAUGCCGCGUGAAUGAAGAAGGCCUUCGGGUUGUAAAGUUCUUUCGGUAGCGAGGAAGGCAUUUAGUUUAAUAGACUAGGUGAUUGACGUUAACUACAGAAGAAGCACCGGCUAACUCCGUGCCAGCAGCCGCGGU
RNAcentral lists this ribosomal RNA (485 nucleotides) under unidentified oral bacterium SH6. RNAcentral describes it as "bacterial SSU rRNA". It matches the Rfam family "Bacterial small subunit ribosomal RNA", at positions 47 to 521 of the family's 1533-position model. The record is from RNAcentral. RNAcentral also lists the same sequence under 1 other name.